This 77-nucleotide transfer RNA is filed under the name Propioniciclava sinopodophylli. RNAcentral's name for it is "Brevilactibacter sinopodophylli tRNA-Met". It matches the Rfam family "tRNA". From Rfam's summary of the family: Transfer RNA (tRNA) molecules are approximately 80 nucleotides in length. Their secondary structure includes four short double-helical elements and three loops (D, anti-codon, and T loops). Lineage: Bacteria; Bacillati; Actinomycetota; Actinomycetes; Propionibacteriales; Propionibacteriaceae. RNAcentral also lists the same sequence under 7 other names. The record is from RNAcentral.
CGCGGGGUGGAGCAGCUCGGUAGCUCGCUAGGCUCAUAACCUAGAGGUCAGGGGUUCAAAUCCCCUCCCCGCUACCA